AGCCAUAAGUGAAAGAAAAAGGAAACUAAACAUCCACAAGUAAUAUGAUUCAUUUUAGAUCAUAUACAUUGCAUUCAUCUAGUAAUUUAUCGAAUUCUUACAUUCAUUACAUCAUUUCUUUCUUACAUCACAUUUACCUCAAAAUACACAUCGCAUUCUUUUCUUUACAUUACUAAUCAUCAUGUACAAAAGAUGAACAUAGGGUACUUUA
Molecule: long non-coding RNA, 211 nt
Filed under: Ananas comosus (pineapple)
Lineage: Eukaryota; Viridiplantae; Streptophyta; Magnoliopsida; Poales; Bromeliaceae
Description: long non-coding RNA (ACOM_LNC043399)
Source: RNAcentral